RNAcentral lists this long non-coding RNA (4316 nucleotides) under Pongo abelii (Sumatran orangutan). Its description in RNAcentral is "lncRNA (ENSPPYG00000033240.1)". Lineage: Eukaryota; Metazoa; Chordata; Mammalia; Primates; Hominidae. The record is from RNAcentral.
UUGAAGACUGCUUUCACUACUUAGGGAGUUUACAAGUUUGCCCUGCAUUUGGCCAGGAACUUGUAGUUUAGAAGUUCUCUCUGGUCAGUCCUCUGAGAUGGCAGCCUUCAGCAUGCAGUCUUCCUGAUCACAAGGGAUGUCUGUAGCUUUAUCUAGGUUCUUUGUCUCUUUCCCUGAUCCUUUUUUUUUUUGAGACACUCUUGCUCUGUCGCCUAGGCUGGAGUGCAGCGGCGCGAUCUCGGCUCACUGCAAGUUCCGCCUCCCGGGUUCACGCCAUCCUCCUGCCUCAGCCUCUCAAGUAGCUGGGGCUACAGAUGCACGCUGCCACGCCUGGCUAUUUUUUUGUAUUUUUAGUAGAGACGCAGUUUCACCGUGUUAGCCAGGAUGGUCUCGGUCUCCUGACCUUGUGAUCCGCCCGCCUCAGCUUCCCAGAGUGCUGGGAUUACAGGCGUGAGCCACCGCGCCUGGCCUCCCUCAUCCUUUCUUUAAGCUUCUGGUUAUCUAUUGGAAUGACCUGGCAACUGUUUAACCUCCACUGUUACUGAUUGCUCUACUGUUUUCUACAAUACUCUGAAGUCUGUUACAAAUAAAGUCAGGCCCUGUGACAGUUAAUUUUCAGUGUCAACUUGAAUGCAUUAAGGAAUACCUAGAGAACUGGUAAAACAUUAUUUCUGGUUGUGUCUGUGAGGGUGUUUUCAGAGACUGGCAUGUGAGCCAUUAGACUGAAUGGGGAAGAUUUGCCCACAAUGUGAUUGAGGCACAAUCCAAACAGCUAGGAGCCUGGACAGAAGGAAAAGAGAAAAAGCUAAUUCUCUCUCCACUAACCUCCUCCCCCCCACACCUAAACCUAUACCCCAGGAGCUGAGACAGCUUUAUUCUCAUGCCCUUGGACAUCAGAACUCCAGGCUUUCAGGCCUUUGGAUUCGAGGACUUACACCCGUGGCCCCUUGGUUCUCAGGCCUUCUACCUCAGUCUGAGAGUUACACCAUCAGUUUUCCUGGUUCUGAGGCUUCUGGACUUCGACUGAGUCAUGCUACCACCAUCACUACGUCUCUAGCUUGCAGACAGCCUAGUGUGGGACUUCCUAGCCUCCAUAAUUACGUAACCUAAUUCCCUCAAGACUUGCCCUCUUAUAUUGGUUUCGUAUCUCUGAAAAACCCUAAUUCAGGCCUCUUGUAAUGAUGUCAGUUUUUGAAGCUUACUCCAACCCCCCACUGAACAGAACCUCUGUACCUUUAUGCUAUGGAACAGCUGGAGGAUAGAAGGAAUGGUAAAUCAGCUCUUUCUGCCAAGCGGGUACAUUUAGUCUUCCACUCAGAAAUACUAUGUUAUCUCCCAGUUACAUCUUACAGGUUUGGUUUGGUGUCUGGUUUUUUUUCUUUUUUGGUUGUUGUUUUUUGGCAGGCUUGUAUUAUUUUGUGCCUCUUAUUAUAUACACGGGUCUUACUGGCUGGGCGUGGUGGCUCACGCCUAUAAUCCCAGCACUUUGGGAGGCCAAGGCAGGUGGAUCACUUGAGGUCCGGAGUUCAAGACCAGCCUAGCCAACAUGAUGAAACCCCAUCACUACUAAAAAUAUGAAAAUUAGCUGGGCAUCAUGGUGGACACCUGUAAUCCCACUACAGGAGCGGCACUUGAACCCGGGAGGCAGAGGCUGCAGUGAGCCAAGACUGCACCACUGCGCUCCAGCCUGGGGAACAGAGUGAGACUCUAUCUCGAAAAAUAAAUAAAUGGGUCUUCUUUUAUUGUUUCCCAGUUGAUUACUGUUAAUUGUUCAGGAAAGUAACUAAUUUUCAGUGUACUCCUUUAAACUUUAAAGAUAUUAAAAGCAAGUCAUCAACAAGAGUAUUUUGGUCUCUCUCCCAAAUUUAACUUUCAUUUUGCUUUCCAUUCUUUGACAUUAGCAAUAGCUUAUGAUGUAAUUGAUGAUCGCAGGCAACAUUUCGCUCCUUAAUUGAAAGAUGUAUUUCAAGAGUUGCCACACAAACAUAACCCUCACUUUUGGUUUAAGCACUUUAAAGUAUAUGGAAAAAUUCUUAUUUUAACACAUUAGAAAUGUCUUUACUAGGAAUAAGUAUUUAAAUUAAGCACAUUCUUGGCAUCUCCUAAAUUCAUGACUUCUAAAAUUGAUGUACAUUAUAUUUUUUCCACACUAUUUACUUGAAAGUUUCCACUCUUGUAACAAUUAUUCUUGUUUUAAAAAGAUUCCUAAAUUUGGAGGCAUUAACAGAAGCUUUGUUAAACUAGUCAAAAAGCACCUCAAAGAUGACUUCAUGAAAUACUUCCUCCAAGAUACUAAUUACUUCUCAAUUCUCCAGUUAUUAAGAGAGGCAUACAUAAAUUAAUAAACAUCAAACUCAACCAUUUCAACUCUCCAUUAUAGGGAAAAGUUUCCACUAAUGCCAUACUCUGCUAUUUAGCGACAAAUACCACCCUGAAAAAUCCCCCCAGUAAGUUUUGCUAGAUGACAUCCCCAAUGGGUCAAGUAGUUAGCUGAGAGCAAGGAUCCUAACAAGUUGCUAAGGCAAAGAACAGAGCCAAUGCCCCAACUGGGUCUGUUAAGAAGGUUAAGGAAGUAGAUGUCAAUGGUGAAAACGAAUCUUAUUUUUAAAAAAUCAAGAUAAGCUGUAUGGAAUUAAUAUAUAAUAUUCUGUUUUUAAUUCACCUUCAUUUUCUCCCAUCCCAAGAACUUCUAUUACUUUUUCUUAACAGCUAUUUCAGAUCACUAAAAGAAUAUCUAAGUCCUUUUCCCAUCUAACCUGGACAUAAAUUCUCACAGCAUUUCUGCUCUAUCUCAUUUUUAAUCCCUUCAUAAGUUGCACUACUCUUAGCACACAAAUGACCUAUUUUACCCACUAACCAUUUUCAUUAUAUUUACAGUCUCUUUGUUGUUAUACAAGUACAUCCAUACUAGAAACUUUACAUACAUACAUUUCAGUUCGUACUUUGUAGCUCUUUUACACAGGUGAGGUACAUCACGAAACUUAUCAAGCUUGUGUUUUUUAAACAAAAAUCCCAUUCUGAAAGCAGACUCUAGGGAAUUCAAGCAACAGUUAGUAAACUAUGUCUGGUAGGCCAAAUUCAGCCCACUUCCUGUUUUUGUAAAUUGUUUUAUUAAAACAUAGCCACACUAAUUCAUUUAUAUAUUGUCUAUGGUUUUUUCUGCAUUAUGAGAAUUGAGUAGUUAGGACAGAAACUAGAAGGCCUACGAAGCUUAUUUAUCUGACCCUUUAUUGAAAAAAUUUGCUAACCCCUCAAUGAAAAUAUUUUCCAUUAAAAAAACUAUUACAUUUCAAUUUGUGUUACUGAAUACUUAGCAAGAUAAAUUCUUUGAAAAGUGAAUUAUGUUUUUUAAGUACUUGCCAAAUAGUGAGAAACCCAUUUCAGUGGAGAUGGACUGGAAAAAAUAAAACAAAUUCCUCACCCAGAAAUUCAACUGCAAAACUAAAACUAACUCUUCAAUUGUAAUAAGAACCUCGAACUACUGAAUAUCAUAUUUUGGAAAGCCCUCUUUGGAAAGCCACACAAAAAAAUAAAGGAUACAGGCUUUUGUUCUGAAUUUUCUGCAAUGGCAAUAAUGAAGCUCUAAGCAGGUUUGCCUCCCUCAGAAUAACCUAAGUUAACAAAAUCAGAAAAAGUUCCAACUAGAAUAUCUGGAGCACAAAGCUUACUUUAAAUGGCUGUUAAAACUUUAAGGCAAGAAGUACGUAUCUCGACAUUUUCCUGAAAUGGCUAUUCUGAAAUGUAAUUUUAUAGUGCUGCAAAUAUUAGCAGGAAAGUUCCCUCUCUCUCCUUGCUAUUUACAGCAGGUGAUGCCUCAUAACAGAUCUAUAUGUGACAAACAGGGCAUUUUAAUUUUAUUGCUGUUAGGAUACUGAAGUCUAUAAGCCUCUCUAUGGCUUACCUUGCCAGCAUAAUGAUAGUAAAAUUAUGGUAUAUGUUACCUUUCUUAAACAAUAUAUCAUCUAUGAUUAUGGGAAGAAAAAAAAUCCCACACUUUAUCUAUCUUGUAUAGUUAACUAGCAUUGAAAAAACACAUCACUUUAAAAUCUGUAUUUCCUAAAGAACAAAAUUUCCAUUAGAUUUUAGCACAGUAAAAAAAUUCUUGUGUAAACACAAACUUAAGAUAAAUUUAAUUGAAAAUGUUCAUUACAGAAAUUAACAAUGCUUACCAUUCUUUAAACACCAUAUACAUUAUUAAUAUAUACUGUAUAUUUCCAAUUAACUCCAUUCUUAGGCUCAAUUUAAGAAACACAAUUGUAACAUUUUAUACAAAAAAUACUUCACUAAGAAAGUAGACAAACUGCACAAAACAGUAC